CAUGGUUGGAAGACACAAGAACGAUCACGGGUGAAUUUUUAACGCAGAUGUGACAGAAAAUCAUUAUCAGGAUCAAUUUUCCAAAUGCACCUACACAGUGGGCCAACCAAACACAUUUCUUCAGCAAAAGGCCAAGAAGAAAAAUCUCUUUAAUAAAGGUUGUUCAGUGAUUAAUAUCAAUAAGCUGGCCUUGCUUAGUAAAUGACAUUUAAUCACACUUUGAUUAAUCGUCUAUAAACAUUUAUUUUGAGUUACUUUACAUUCUCCAAGCACCCUCAACAGUUUUGAGUUAUUAUUUAAUAUUCUAUUGACAAGAACAAUCACCUAAAACAUAUAUUGUUAUAUAAUAAGGAGAAGAAUUGUGCGGGCUAAAUGAAACGCAGCAUUCAUUGCCUCUUAAAUAAAGUAUUUUCUAAAGGGUUGUUCAAGUUGUCAUCACAAAUAUGUGUUGAGUUUAUGUAUGUUUUGAUAAAAACUUUAACGCUUUUCUGCUGUUAGUUAUAUCUGGCACAAAAAAAAAAGAAGUUUGUGUGUCUUUGACUAUUUAUUCCUAAACUAUAUCUACAGGUAUUACCACUAUCCACUGAAUCUCAUCUCAACAUUGCUCUGCACUGAGAUUGCCUUCAGUGUUGCUUCCCCACACCGUCCCAUUGGUUUCACCAAAAGCUGCGUGACAUUGGUAGAAAAGAUUUGUUUUUCAACGGGCACAAGUCAAACCAGCAACCUUGCUGCUCAACCAACAAAUGCAUUUUUCUUGCAAAAGCUUGUUAAUAAUAUAAUAUUGUCAAAAAUGAUUGUUACAAAAAAAUAAAUCAACCAAACAUACAUUUAAUUACUUCUUGUUUAUUUAAUCUUUAAGGGUAGUUAUUAAGGAGGAAGCACAUUUUCUUAUGAAUUUAUUUAUAUACAGCACCCUCCAGAGUUUUUGGCACCUCUGAAAAAAAUGUGUAGACAAGUCAUUGUAUAAAUAAGCAAAUAAAUAUCAGAUGGCUGGAGGAUAAUCUCGUACUGAAAAAAUAUAUACUUUUCUAUUAUGUCACCUUGACUUUGUUUUACUUUACUUUUUAAAAAUGGAUUGGAUUGUCUAGCAACUUUUUAUUCAGUAUUUUAUCUUUCUGUUUCCCCGAGGUAGAGAUAUGAUCUAACACCGAUGCUCCUCGUCACUCUGCAAAAUGGGAAAGAAAAGAGAAGGUGCCAUUCAAGGGUCAUAGAUAUAUUUUAAACUGAUCAAGAAAUGGUGUCAAGAAAAUAAUUAACUGGCUUCAAGCACCUUUAUCAAUGGUCAAGGUGAUAAUUUUAAAAUAAAACUGAAAAUGUUGCUAAAAGAAAGAUGUUUUUUGUUUUCCAAGUGAGGGGGAUGGCAGGAGAUGUCAAAAAAAAUCUCCAUAGCUCACACUUGGGGAAGAGUCAAAGUCUUUAUAACAAAGGGACUUUGAGCCACAUCUCUACCAGGGGGGAAAAUAAGGAUACUGCAUAUUAUUGUUUCAUUCAAUUGUGCAACUUUUGUUGUAAGAUAUUUGCUAUUUUCAUUAGACAAUCCCUUAAAAGCUUGUUUUAGCCCUUUGAAGUAGUUUUUUUUUAUUUCCUUGAAUUUAAGCCUAAACCAACUAAAAAUAAGAAAAAAAAAAAACAAAUAUAAAAU
Long non-coding RNA from Poecilia latipinna (sailfin molly), 1642 nucleotides. RefSeq lists it as uncharacterized. NCBI's taxonomy places the organism in Eukaryota, Metazoa, Chordata, Actinopteri, Cyprinodontiformes, Poeciliidae. The transcript is spliced from 3 exons. The record is from RefSeq and is a predicted model, not a curated record.